AAAGAAACUAAAUGAGAAACAGUUCAUCAUCUGUUGAUUGUAGGUGUUGCUAUGGUGAUGUCAAUUAUGUUGGCUCCUCCUCCUCUGAUCGUUCUCUUCAUGAUUCACGGAGUUUAUAGUGCUGAUGAUGGGUGGGGUGUGAAUUACAGCUCUUCAUCCAUCUGUGCACUAAAGGGUUCAACAGUGAUAAUAAACUGCACUUAUAAAUACCCUACUGGACAUCAGAUCAUGAAAGUGUUCUGGACCAAAGCUGUUGUUAGACAACAAAAAAAUUAUUUUACAGAUCUGUCUGAUGACUCUGAAUACAGUCAGAGGAUUCAGUAUCUGGGAGAUAAACAUCACGACUGCACCAUGAGACUGACUGAUGUGAGACAGACAGAUUCACACAAAUACUAUUUCAGAUUCAUCACUGAUAAACCUGAUGUGAAAUGGUUUGGUGUUCCUGGAGUGACUCUUAAUAUUACAGAUCUUCAGGUGGAGUCUUCAGGUGAGAGAGUGACAGAGGGACAUUCAGUGACUCUUACAUGUAAAAGCAGAUGCAGUCUGACUGACAGAUCAACAUUCAUCUGGUUUAAAAACACACAGUCAUUAAGUGAGAGAACAGACAGAAACAAUCAACUCAUCCUGCAGUCAGUAAGAAGAGAGGAUGCAGGCAACUAUAGCUGUGCUGUACAGGGACACAAACUCACAUCACCUCAUCAAUAUCUCAAUGUCAUCUAUGCUCCAGAUAAACCUGUAAUCUCUAUCAAUCCUUCUGGUGAAAUAAUGGAGGGUGAUUCAGUGACUCUGAUAUGCAGCAGUGAUGCAAAUCCACCUGUUCAGAUCUACACCUGGUUUAAGGAGAAUAAAACUGUUGCAUCUGGACAAACCUACAUCGUCUCAAAGAUCAGAUCAGAUCACAGUGGAGAAUACAAGUGCAAGUCAAGUAAUACACUUGGACAGAAAUAUUCAGCAGUGACAUUAAAUAUUUUAUAUCCUCCAAAGAACGUGACAGCAUCCAUCAGUGGAUCUGGUGAAAUAAUGGAGGGUGAUUCAGUGACUCUGAUAUGCAGCAGUGAUGCAAAUCCACCUGUUCAGAUCUACAGCUGGUUUAAGAACAAUAAAACUGUUGCACCUGGACAAACCUACAUCAUCUCAAAGAUUAGAUCAGAUCACAGUGGAGAAUACAAGUGCAAGUCAAGUAAUACACAUGGACAGAAAUAUUCAGCAGUGACAUUAAAUGUUUUAUAUCCUCCAAAGAAGGUGACAGCAUCCAUCAGUGGAUCUGUUGAAAUAAUGGAGGGUGAUUCAGUGAAUCUGACCUGCAGCAGUGAAUCAAAUCCACCUGUUCAGAUCUACAGCUGGUUUAAGGAGAAGGAAACAUCAUCAGUUGGAUCUGGACAGACGUACAGCAUCACUAACAUUAACUCCAGUCACAGUGGAUGGUUUUACUGUGAGGCUCAGAAUGAUGUCGGAUCUCAGAGAUCUGCUGCUGUAUCACUAAAUGUUAAAGGAGGAAAAUACUCAGUCCUGAAUGUGGUUGCUGGAGUCUUAGCUGUAUGUGGAGGUUUAAUUUUCAUUCUCGUCGUUGUGUUUGUGUGGUGAGUUUAUUCGGCCAUAAGAUAAAGAAAAGUUUCACAAACAAACCCUACUGAGAGUCUCCAGAAGCCCUGUCUUAUAUCUCAGAGCCUCUUAAAAUCUCAGGAUUUAUUACAAUAUACUUUUAAUCACAAAAACACCAACAUAACACAAACUCUUUUAAUACCAACACAAAAGAACACUAAACAUUAAUAUGUCGUCUCAUUAUUUCAUCUUGAUUACUGAAUAAGACGUUUAACCAAAAGUCAAGAGUACUAUGAAUGUGAUGUAAUUGGAGAAGGGUAUGUAAUGUAUAAUGUGUCUUGUGUUUGUGCGAAGUGUAUGUCAUUGUUUAAUGAAUGUUAAUUGUUGUAAACCUGGAUACUGUGAUGCAAGAAAAAUUUCAGACUUUGUCUGACAAUAAAGUACCAUAUCAUAUCAUAUCAUAUCAUUAAAAAUGCAUAAAAUCAAACUUGCUGAGAACUGAAAAUCUCCUGUAUAAAUGUGAAAAAAAAUGCAUUGAAUUAAAAUGUUUAAGAUAAGCGGAUGAGAAGCAAAAUGUAUUGAUGUAAUGAUGCAACUAUGUUUGAAACAGAAACUGCAUCAAUCGUGUUAAAUCAAAAUGCUUUGUUUAAGUAAAGUGAACAGCAUAACAGUUUUUUGAGUGUGGAAUUGAACCUCUCUGUCUCUGAUGUCCUUGAUGAAGGACGAGACCUAGAAACAGAAAGACCCCUCUCAACCAAUGAAGCGCAAACACAGACCUGAUGACAUCAGACAAAAUCAGGAUAAUAUGUAUUCAACUGUAACAAAGAGAGUCUCAGCUCCUGAAUGUAGACUUGCUGAGGAGAUCCAGUAUUCAACCGUCCAACACAUCAAAGACAU
This is a non-coding RNA of Paramisgurnus dabryanus, 2439 nucleotides long. The record is from RefSeq and is a predicted model, not a curated record. NCBI's taxonomy places the organism in Eukaryota, Metazoa, Chordata, Actinopteri, Cypriniformes, Cobitidae.